AACGAACGCUGGCGGCAUGCCUAACACAUGCAAGUCGAACGAGACCUUCGGGUCUAGUGGCGCACGGGUGCGUAACGCGUGGGAACCUGCCCUUAGGUUCGGAAUAACUCCCCGAAAGGGGUGCUAAUACCGGAUAAUGUCUUCGGACCAAAGAUUUAUCGCCUUUGGAUGGGCCCGCGUUGGAUUAGCUAGUUGGUAGGGUAAAAGCCUACCAAGGCGACGAUCCAUAGCUGGUCUGAGAGGAUGAUCAGCCACACUGGGACUGAGACACGGCCCAGACUCCUACGGGAGGCAGCAGUGGGGAAUAUUGGACAAGGGGCGAAAGCCUGAUCCAGCAAUGCCGCGUGAGUGAAGAAGGCCUUAGGGUUGUAAAGCUCUUUUACCCGGGAUGAUAAUGACAGUACCGGGAGAAUAAGCGCCGGCUAACUCCGUG
RNAcentral lists this ribosomal RNA (433 nucleotides) under uncultured bacterium. RNAcentral's name for it is "partial 16S ribosomal RNA". It matches the Rfam family "Bacterial small subunit ribosomal RNA", at positions 29 to 507 of the family's 1533-position model. The record is from RNAcentral.